GUGUAAACUUGUCCACAGAUGACUGUUGUCAGACAGAUUAAUGAAUGAAACCUGUGAAAACGACAGAAAAGGCCCCGAACUGAUGACACGGUUAAACAUUUAGGUAAAAAGCACAGAUAAAUAUUCAGGGGGAACACGCCGACUCAGCUGAU
Molecule: long non-coding RNA, 152 nt
Organism: Etheostoma cragini (Arkansas darter)
Lineage: Eukaryota; Metazoa; Chordata; Actinopteri; Perciformes; Percidae
Exons: 2
Source: RefSeq, a predicted model, not a curated record